RNAcentral lists this long non-coding RNA (429 nucleotides) under Papio anubis (olive baboon). RNAcentral describes it as "lncRNA (ENSPANG00000042340.1)". Lineage: Eukaryota; Metazoa; Chordata; Mammalia; Primates; Cercopithecidae. The record is from RNAcentral.
CUUGACACACCCCAAGCCCUUCUUUGCAUUGUGACAUAGGACACAGUAGAAGCCUGCUAACAGUGACAACCCCUUCUGAAGGAAUAAUAGAUCUGUGCAAAAAGUCUUUGGCUCAGGACAUUGGGUGGCUUUGUGCAGCUGUCCUGGAUUUCUGGAAGCUCGACUUGCUGUGACUCCAGGAGGCAACUCUAUAGAUCACUGGGGACUCAUCCUGCAGAUAUCAUUCAAGACAUCCAGUUCAGAAUCUAUCACCAGCUCAGAUUGUAGGCUCUGAAGAGAUCUCAGAUGUUUUGUGCCUUAUACAUUUAAUUCUGAGAUCACAGAGCCCGAGGAGGUUUUGAGGACCCUCUACUCCCACCUUCGGAUGUUUUCAGAGGAGUUGCUGGCAGGGCUGGGCCACUGGGCCUUGCUGGGAAUUAAUUCUCCUAC